This 472-nucleotide ribosomal RNA is filed under the name uncultured eubacterium WR8113. RNAcentral's name for it is "bacterial SSU rRNA". It matches the Rfam family "Bacterial small subunit ribosomal RNA", at positions 9 to 527 of the family's 1533-position model. The record is from RNAcentral.
GAGUUUGAUCAUGGCUCAGAGCGAACGCUGGCGGCAGGCCUAAUACAUGCAAGUCGAACGGAUCCUUCGGGAUUAGUGGCGGACGGGUGAGUAACACGUGGGAGCGUGCCCUUUGGUUCGGAACAACUCAGGGAAACUUGAGCUAAUACCGGAUAAGCCCUUCGGGGGAAAGAUUUAUCGCCAUUGGAGCGGCCCGCGUCUGAUUAGCUAGUUGGUGGGGUAACGGCCCACCAAGGCUACGAUCAGUAGCUGGUCUGAGAGGAUGAUCAGCCACACUGGGACUGAGACACGGCCCAGACUCCUACGGGAGGCAGCAGUAGGGAAUCUUGCGCAAUGGGCGAAAGCCUGACGCAGCCAUGCCGCGUGAAUGAUGAAAGUCUUAGGAUUGUAAAAUUCUUUCAGCGGGGAAGAUAAUGACGGUACCCGCAGAAGAAGCCCCGGCUAACUUCGUGCCAGCAGCCGCGGUAAUACG